Molecule: ribosomal RNA, 317 nt
Filed under: Cirrophorus sp. n. JL-2017
Lineage: Eukaryota; Metazoa; Annelida; Polychaeta; Paraonidae
Description: partial large subunit ribosomal RNA
Rfam family: Bacterial large subunit ribosomal RNA
Source: RNAcentral
CGAGAGUUUAACUGUCUCAAACAUUCCCAUAAAAAUUAAUCUUCGGGUGAAGAGGCCCGAAUAAAAUUAAAAGACAAAAAGACCCCGUAGAGCCUAACUUCAAUUUAAGUAUAAGCAAUCUAACAACCUCCCUUAAUAAGAAGUCAAGUUGGGGCGACUAAGGAAAAUCAAAAUCUUCCUUUCACAAAUAGGCCUAUAAGCCCUCAACGAUCCAACUACUUGAUCAACAAAACAGGCUACCUCAGGGAUAACAGGCUAAUCCUCCUCGAGAGCCCAAAUUAACAGGAGGGAUUGGCACCUCGAUGUUGGCUUAGGAA